CCUACGGGGUGCAGCAGUGGGGAAUAUUGGACAAUGGGCGAAAGCCUGAUCCAGCCAUGCCGCGUGUGUGAAGAAGGCCUUCGGGUUGUAAAGCACUUUCAGUGGGGAAGAAAGCCUUGGGGCUAAUACCCUCGAGGAAGGACAUCACCCACAGAAGAAGCACCGGCUAACUCCGUGCCAGCAGCCACGGUAAUACGGAGGGUGCGAGCGUUAAUCGGAAUUACUGGGCGUAAAGCGCGCGUAGGCGGUCUGAUAAGCCGGUUGUGAAAGCCCCGGGCUCAACCUGGGAACGGCAUCCGGAACUGUCAGGCUAGAGUGCAGGAGAGGAAGGUAGAAUUCCCGGUGUAGCGGUGAAAUGCGUAGAGAUCGGGAGGAAUACCAGUGGCGAAGGCGGCCUUCUGGACUGACACUGACGCUGAGGUGCGAAAGCGUGGGUAGCAAACAGGAUUAGAUACCCCAGUAGUC
RNAcentral lists this ribosomal RNA (465 nucleotides) under Vreelandella stevensii. RNAcentral's name for it is "partial 16S ribosomal RNA". It matches the Rfam family "Bacterial small subunit ribosomal RNA", at positions 338 to 795 of the family's 1533-position model. The record is from RNAcentral. Lineage: Bacteria; Pseudomonadati; Pseudomonadota; Gammaproteobacteria; Oceanospirillales; Halomonadaceae.